UGUGACUUCAGUAUCCUAGACAACUCAUGGGUUGGGAUAAAAAAUCACUGGAUGAUCCUAAGCCAGGUUGCUCCACAUCAAGAAUACUCAAGCCAAAAUUAUAGUGAAGUUAAAAUGUAUGAACAAGCUUCCGUACCUUGCUUUCCCUCUUCUUUUUCUCUUGAGAAGCAAAAUCAGAUGGCAAUCUAGUCCAUAUUGGAGAAGUUGCUUAACUGGCGUUCCUGCUCCAAAUGAAAAGAUGGAGACUGAAGUAAAAAAGGAUGAAAUAGGAAUAGAUUUGUAAGAAGACACGAAGACAAACUUGAGGGACACUGGGAUUCAUAACCAAAGAAGGUUUCAGAGCCACUUUUUCAGUGAUCUAGACAUCUGUACUUUGGUAGAAUGUCACGCCUUGGAUUAUUAGCACAAACACUGAGUUUGCUGAAUAUCUGAGAUCAUAUACAGGACACAUUUGGAUUUUCCUGUCCAUCACAGAACUAUCAGAAAGAGGGAAUCUGUUUUCCAUCUAUGUUCGGGUCCUUUCCUAA
Sarcophilus harrisii (Tasmanian devil) is the source of this 527-nucleotide long non-coding RNA. RefSeq lists it as uncharacterized. The transcript is spliced from 3 exons. The record is from RefSeq and is a predicted model, not a curated record. Lineage: Eukaryota; Metazoa; Chordata; Mammalia; Dasyuromorphia; Dasyuridae.